RNAcentral lists this ribosomal RNA (481 nucleotides) under uncultured bacterium. Its description in RNAcentral is "bacterial SSU rRNA". It matches the Rfam family "Bacterial small subunit ribosomal RNA", at positions 28 to 504 of the family's 1533-position model. The record is from RNAcentral.
GAUGAACGCUAGCGGCAGGCCUAACACAUGCAAGUCGAGGGGCAGCACAGGUAGCAAUACUGGGUGGCGACCGGCGGAUGGGUGCGUAACGCGUAUGCAACCUACCAUUGAUUGGGGCAUAGCCCGAAGAAAUUCGGAUUAAUACUCCAUAAUAUUCAUCAAAGGCAUCUUUUAUGAAUUAAAGCUUUUGCGAUCAAUGAUGGGCAUGCGUGACAUUAGUUAGUUGGUGAGGUAACGGCUCACCAAAACGAUGAUGUCUAGGGGUUCUGAGAGGAUUAUCCCCCAACUGGUACUGAGACACGGACCAGACUCCUACGGGAGGCAGCAGUGAGGAAUAUUGGUCAAUGGACGCAAGUCUGAACCAGCCAUGCCGCGUGCAGGAUGACGGCCCUAUGGGUUGUAAACUGCUUUUCCAGGGAGAGAAACUUGCGUACGCGUUGCGCAAUUGACGGUACCCUGGGAAUAAGCAUCGGCUUAACCG